CUCUGUGACUCCUACGGGAGGCAGCAGUGGGGAAUAUUGCACAAUGGGCGCAAGCCUGAUGCAGCCAUGCCGCGUGUAUGAAGAAGGCCUUCGGGUUGUAAAGUACUUUCAGCAGUGAGGAAGGUUCAUGCGUUAAUAGCGUAUGGAUUUGACGUUAGCUGCAGAAGAAGCACCGGCUAACUCCGUGCCAGCAGCCGCGGUAAUACGGAGGGUGCGAGCGUUAAUCGGAAUUACUGGGCGUAAAGCGCAUGCAGGUGGUUUGUUAAGUCAGAUGUGAAAGCCCCGGGGCUCAACCUCGGAAUUGCAUUUGAAACUGGCAGACUAGAGUACUGUAGAGGGGGUAGAAUUUCAGGUGUAGCGGUGAAAUGCGUAGAGAUCUGAAGGAAUACCGGUGGCGAAGGCGGCCCCCUGGACAGAUACUGACACUCAGAUGCGAAAGCGUGGGGAGCAAACAGGAUUAGAUACCCUGGUAG
Molecule: ribosomal RNA, 473 nt
Filed under: uncultured bacterium
Lineage: Bacteria
Description: bacterial SSU rRNA
Rfam family: Bacterial small subunit ribosomal RNA
Source: RNAcentral